UGUGUGUGUGGGGGGGGUGUGUGUGUGUGCUGCAAUGCAAUUCUCUGACACACAUAGAAAACUCUCUCUCCUGUCUGUCUCUCCCCUGUCUGUUCUCACCUGUCUGUGUCUCACCUGUGUGUCUCUCACCUGUCUGUGUCCCACCUGUCUCUCAGGUCAUCGCUUCGUUAAAAUCUUUUCUCUCUUCGUUAAGCAUUUAAACUCAAGCACAUGACUGGACGCUUUUAUAUCCGUGCAAACGACCUGAAGUCCAUCCACACCAACCAGACCUGGCAGAACCCAUAGCAGACCUGCAGCAUUUAAACUCAAGCACAUGACUGGACGCUUUUAUAUCCGUGCAAACGACCUGAAGUCCAUACACACCAACCAGACCUGGCAGAACCCAUAGCAGACCUGCAGGCAUUACAGGGAGAAGCAUGGAGAUGGCAACACCAGUUCUCCGCAUCCUGAAUCCCCAAGCUCCAGGGGAUCGCACACAGGAAGAGUUGCAAAUCAUGGUCACAUCAUACUGUCAUAUCAAUAUCAGCACUCCUGCUAAAUGUGUUGUUUUAUUUUGGUCAUUAAAAACUGGCAUCAAAUUAUCAUUACAUUUGUUUUCACUAACCUCAGACGAGCACACUGGACUCAUCCUCGUGACCAGGGGAUGAUGGUGACCUGGUAGCUGCGAGCCAGGCUGUGGAAGAAG
This is a long non-coding RNA of Gymnodraco acuticeps, 685 nucleotides long. RefSeq lists it as uncharacterized. The record is from RefSeq and is a predicted model, not a curated record. Lineage: Eukaryota; Metazoa; Chordata; Actinopteri; Perciformes; Bathydraconidae. The transcript has 3 exons.